This is a long non-coding RNA of Seriola aureovittata, 436 nucleotides long. RefSeq lists it as uncharacterized. The record is from RefSeq and is a predicted model, not a curated record. The transcript is spliced from 4 exons. Lineage: Eukaryota; Metazoa; Chordata; Actinopteri; Carangiformes; Carangidae.
CUGGACCUCAGACCAGAAGCAUCCUGGGAGCUGGUCUGGAGUGGACAUGGGUCCAACAGCUUCACUUUGAUCUCCCGCCUGUGGGGGGCGCUGUGAGAGCUGAGACAGACAGACAGGUGACAGAGCCGCGAGGACGACACCUCGACCUCCAGCGGCGAAACGUGACGUCAGGAGGUCGUGACCUGAUGAUGCUGCUGGUCACUCCGGGUCCCAGCGGAGAGCUUCCUGUCUGGGCUCCACUCUGCUGUUGGAGGCUGCAGGAAGAACAGACACAGAAGAGACAUUCAGGAUCUUACCUUCACAGGUUCCUUCAUCGUCCGCCUGUCUGCAAACAAAGGAACAUCAGAGGAAGAGAUCGCCUAAUAUAACAUAAUAUACUAUAACACCGGUGUUACCGUGACACCUGCUGGAACUCUUACCGGGCUGACCGUCUGUC